GCCCCUGUGGCGGAAUUGGCAGACGCGCCGGAUUUAGGUUCCGGUGGGACACCGUGCAGGUUCAAGUCCUGUCGGGGGCA
This 80-nucleotide transfer RNA is filed under the name Clostridiales bacterium. RNAcentral describes it as "tRNA-Leu". It matches the Rfam family "tRNA". From Rfam's summary of the family: Transfer RNA (tRNA) molecules are approximately 80 nucleotides in length. The record is from RNAcentral. Lineage: Bacteria; Bacillati; Bacillota; Clostridia; Eubacteriales.